This 253-nucleotide ribosomal RNA is filed under the name uncultured bacterium. RNAcentral describes it as "partial 16S ribosomal RNA". It matches the Rfam family "Bacterial small subunit ribosomal RNA", at positions 524 to 776 of the family's 1533-position model. The record is from RNAcentral.
UACGUAGGGUGCGAGCGUUGUCCGGAAUUACUGGGCGUAAAGAGCUCGUAGGUGGUUUGUCGCGUUGUUCGUGAAAACCUGAGGCUUAACCUUGGGCGUGCGGGCGAUACGGGCAGACUGGAGUACUGCAGGGGAGACUGGAAUUCCCGGUGUAGCGGUGAAAUGUGUAGAGAUCGGGAGGAACACCGGUGGCGAAGGCGGGUCUCUGGGCAAUUCCUGACGCUGAGGCGCGAAAGCGUGGGGAGCAAACGGG